RNAcentral lists this ribosomal RNA (238 nucleotides) under uncultured bacterium. RNAcentral's name for it is "partial 16S ribosomal RNA". It matches the Rfam family "Bacterial small subunit ribosomal RNA", at positions 118 to 352 of the family's 1533-position model. The record is from RNAcentral.
UGAGGAACAUGACCUUCGGCGGGGGAUAGCCGGCCCAACGGCCGGGUAAUACCGCGUACGACCUUUUGGGGACAUCCCCGAUUGGUGAAAGCAGCAAUGCGCCGAAAGAGUGCCUCGCGGCCUAUCAGCUAGUUGGUGGGGUAAUGGCUCACCAGGGCGACGACGGGUAGCUGGUCUGAGAGGAUGGCCAGCCACAUUGGGACUGAGACACGGCCCAGACCUCCGUACGGGAGGCAGC